UACGUAGGGGGCGAGCGUUGUCCGGAAUGAUUGGGCGUAAAGGGCGCGUAGGCGGCUACUUAAGUCUGGAGUGAAAGUCCUGCCUUCAAGGUGGGAAUUGCUUUGGAUACUGGGUAGCUUGAGUGCAGGAGAGGUAAGUGGAAUUCCCAGUGUAGCGGUGAAAUGCGUAGAGAUUGGGAGGAACACCAGUGGCGAAGGCGACUUACUGGACUGUAACUGACGCUGAGGCGCGAAAGUGUGGGGAGCAAAC
Molecule: ribosomal RNA, 250 nt
Filed under: uncultured prokaryote
Description: partial 16S ribosomal RNA
Rfam family: Bacterial small subunit ribosomal RNA
Source: RNAcentral